UAGAGAAUCUUCCGCAAUGGACGCAAGUCUGACGGAGCAACGCCGCGUGAGUGAAGAAGGAUUUCGGUUCGUAAAACUCUGUUGUUAGAGAAGAACAGCGCAUAGAGUAACUGUUAUGCGUGUGACGGUAUCUAACCAGAAAGCCACGGCUAACUACGUGCCAGCAGCCGCGGUAAUACGUAGGUGGCAAGCGUUGUCCGGAUUUAUUGGGCGUAAAGCGAGCGCAGGCGGUCAAUUAAGUCUGAUGUGAAAGCCCCCGGCUCAACCGGGGAGGGUCAUUGGAAACUGGUUGAAUUGAGUGCAGAAGAGGAGAGUGGAAUUCCAUGUGUAGCAGUGAAAUGCGUAGAUAUAUGGAGGAACACCAGUGGCGAAGGCGACUUUCUGGCCAUAAUCUGACGCUGAGGUACGAAAGCGUGGGUAGCAAACAGG
RNAcentral lists this ribosomal RNA (429 nucleotides) under Bacteroidota bacterium. RNAcentral describes it as "Bacteroidetes bacterium partial 16S ribosomal RNA". It matches the Rfam family "Bacterial small subunit ribosomal RNA", at positions 355 to 776 of the family's 1533-position model. Lineage: Bacteria; Pseudomonadati; Bacteroidota. The record is from RNAcentral.